CCUACGGGCGGCAGCAGUGGGGAAUAUUGCACAAUGGGCGAAACCCUGAUGCAGCGACGCCGCGUGAGUGAAGAAGUUUUUCGGAUUGUAAAGUUCUGUUCUUAGUGAAGAAGAAUGACGGUAACUAAGUAGCAAGCCACGGCUAACUACGUGCCAGCAGCCGCGGUAAUACGUAGGGGGCAAGCGUUGUCCGGAAUUACUGGGUGUAAAGGGAGCGUAGGCGGGAGGGCAAGUCAGCAGUGAAAGCCAAGGGCUUAACCCUGAGACUGCAGUGGAAACUGGCUAGCUUGAGUGAUGGAGGGGUUGGUGGAAUUCCGAGUGUAGCGGUGAAAUGCGUAGAUAUUAGGAGGAACACCAGUGGCGAAGGCGGCUAACUGGGCUUUAACUGACGCUGAGGCUCGAAAGUGUGGGGAGCAAACAGGAUUAGAUACCCCAGUAGUC
Molecule: ribosomal RNA, 441 nt
Filed under: uncultured bacterium
Lineage: Bacteria
Description: partial 16S ribosomal RNA
Rfam family: Bacterial small subunit ribosomal RNA
Source: RNAcentral